Long non-coding RNA from Cyprinus carpio carpio, 358 nucleotides. The record is from Ensembl. Lineage: Eukaryota; Metazoa; Chordata; Actinopteri; Cypriniformes; Cyprinidae.
GUUGAAGAGGCAACUGAUCUGACUGAAUUCACAGAUGAAAUUAUCAGCUGUGGAUACACAGGAGCACUCAACAUAGAACAAAAAGAUGCCAUAAUUAGAGCAAUUUUUCUCUGUGCAAUAUCUGGAGUUACACCAAUGCUUGGAGACUUGCCCAAUGGCCUCCAGCUGUAUAGAUUGCUGGACAUACUUAAGGAGCAUCCAAGACUUUGCAAGAGUCUUUUUGUUCCUGGGGAGGACUGUACAGUAAAUGCAGACUAUAAUCUCAGCAAUGUUGCUCCUGAAAUAAGUGAGAGACGAACUUCAAGGGCUUUGGUAGAGAGCAAAAUCAUAAAUUACUUUCAGGACUUCCUUCAAAAAA